RNAcentral lists this ribosomal RNA (431 nucleotides) under uncultured bacterium. RNAcentral's name for it is "partial 16S ribosomal RNA". It matches the Rfam family "Bacterial small subunit ribosomal RNA", at positions 29 to 507 of the family's 1533-position model. The record is from RNAcentral.
AACGAACGCUGGCGGCAGGCUUAACACAUGCCAGUCGAACGCCCCGCCAGGGGAGUGGCAGACGGGUGAGUACCGCGUGGGAACAUACCCUUUUCUACGGAAUAGCUCUGGGAAACUGGAAUUAAUACCGUAUACGCCCUACGGGGGAAAGAUUUAUCGGGGAAGGAUUGGCCCGCGUUGGAUUAGCUAGUUGGUGGGGUAAAGGCCUACCAAGGCGACGAUCCAUAGCUGGUCUGAGAGGAUGAUCAGCCACAUUGGGACUGAGACACGGCCCAAACUCCUACGGGAGGCAGCAGUGGGGAAUAUUGGACAAUGGGCGCAAGCCUGAUCCAGCCAUGCCGCGUGAGUGAUGAAGGCCUUAGGGUUGUAAAGCUCUUUCACCGAUGAAGAUAAUGACGGUAGUCGGAGAAGAAGCCCCGGCUAACUUCGUG